CGGACGGGUGAGUAAUGUCUGGGAAACUGCCUGAUGGAGGGGGGUAACUACUGGAAACGGUAGCUAAUACCGCAUAACGUCGCAAGACCAAAGAGGGGGACCUUCGGGCCUCUUGCCAUCGGAUGUGCCCAGAUGGGAUUAGCUAGUAGGUGGGGUAAAGGCUCACCUAGGCGACGAUCCCUAGCUGGUCUGAGAGGAUGACCAGCCACACUGGAACUGAGACACGGCCCAG
Molecule: ribosomal RNA, 232 nt
Filed under: uncultured bacterium
Lineage: Bacteria
Description: partial 16S ribosomal RNA
Rfam family: Bacterial small subunit ribosomal RNA
Source: RNAcentral